UACGUAGGUGGCAAGCGUUGUCCGGAAUUAUUGGGCGUAAAGCGCGCGCAGGCGGUCCUUUAAGUCUGAUGUGAAAGCCCACGGCUCAACCGUGGAAGGUCAUUGGAAACUGGAGGACUUGAGUACAGAAGAGGAAAGCGGAAUUCCACGUGUAGCGGUGAAAUGCGUAGAGAUGUGGAGGAACACCAGUGGCGAAGGCGGCUUUCUGGUCUGUAACUGACGCUGGGGCGCGAAAGCGUGGGGAGCAAACAGG
Molecule: ribosomal RNA, 253 nt
Filed under: uncultured bacterium
Lineage: Bacteria
Description: partial 16S ribosomal RNA
Rfam family: Bacterial small subunit ribosomal RNA
Source: RNAcentral